CCCGGUACACUGUUUAUAGCGCAUGCUAUUUUCAGUAAAGUUCCGGCGGUCGCGGACGGGGAUGCGCUCCAUUAGAUAGUCGGCGGGGUAACGGCCCACCGAGUCUAUGAUGGAUAGGGGUUCUGAGAGGAAGGUCCCCCACAUUGGAACUGCGACACGGUCCAAACUCCUACGGGAGGCAGCAGUGAGGAAUAUUGGUCAAUGGGCGAAGGCCUGAACCAGCCAAGUAGCGUGAAGGAUGACAGCCCUAUGGGUUGUAAACUUCUUUUGGUCGGGAAUAACAGACACCACUUGUGGUGUUUUGCAUGUACCGGCCGAAUAAGGAUCGGCUAACUCCGUGCCAGCAGCCGCGGUAAUACGGAGGAUCCGAGCGUUAUCCGGAUUUAUUGGGUUUAAAGGGAGCGUAGGCGGGAAGUCAAGUCAGCUGUGAAAUGCGUACGCUCAACGUACGCCUUGCAGUUGAAACUGGUUUUCUUGAGUGCGUAAGAGGCAGGCGGAAUUCGUGGUGUAGCGGUGAAAUGCUUAGAUAUCACGAGGAACUCCAAUUGCGAAGGCAGCUUGCUAGGCCGCUACUGACGCUGAUGCUCGAAGGUGCGGGUAUCAAACAGGAUUAGAUACCCUGGUAGUCCGCACAGUAAACGAUGGACACUCGCUAUCGGCGAUACACUGCCGGUGGCCAAGCGAAAGCGUUAAGUGUCCCACCUGGG
This 707-nucleotide ribosomal RNA is filed under the name uncultured bacterium. RNAcentral describes it as "bacterial SSU rRNA". It matches the Rfam family "Bacterial small subunit ribosomal RNA", at positions 169 to 877 of the family's 1533-position model. The record is from RNAcentral.